CAGUAGCCGCGGGAAUACGUAGGGUGCAAGCGUUAAUCGGAAUUACUGGGCGUAAAGCGUGCGCAGGCGGUUCGCUAAGACAGAUGUGAAAUCCCCGGGCUUAACCUGGGAACUGCAUUUGUGACUGGCGGGCUAGAGUAUGGCAGAGGGGGGUAGAAUUCCACGUGUAGCAGUGAAAUGCGUAGAGAUGUGGAGGAAUACCGAUGGCGAAGGCAGCCCCCUGGGCCAAUACUGACGCUCAUGCACGAAAGCGUGGGGAGCAAACAGGAUUAGAUACCCGGGUAGUCCCUGUCUCUUAUAC
RNAcentral lists this ribosomal RNA (301 nucleotides) under uncultured bacterium. RNAcentral describes it as "partial 16S ribosomal RNA". It matches the Rfam family "Bacterial small subunit ribosomal RNA", at positions 509 to 807 of the family's 1533-position model. The record is from RNAcentral.